RNAcentral lists this unclassified non-coding RNA (1566 nucleotides) under Portunus trituberculatus (swimming crab). Its description in RNAcentral is "homocysteine S-methyltransferase 4-like, transcript variant X1". The record is from RNAcentral. Lineage: Eukaryota; Metazoa; Arthropoda; Malacostraca; Decapoda; Portunidae.
UGUGGAGCGGUGUACCCCAAGAUGUAAGUCUAAUACAUCUUGGGUGUACCCAAUAUAACCAGUCGCCUUCAGCUGCCGAGUGUGGCGCCAAGCUCAAGAUGUCAACACAUCACCCACAGGAUACUGAACAGUGAAGAUUGAAGAGGUGGAGUGGCGUUGUGUGUCGUGCGGCGGUGUGUUGCAGGUGUGGACUGAGAGCGUCACAACAGCAUGAAGUCACCAUUGCUACUAUUACUACCACUACUACCACUGCUAGUGUCACCUGUGGAAGCUGCCGACCUCUCCCAGCACCACUACGACCUGGGGGACUGGACGGCUAUAGUGGUGUUGACGGGUUUGGCAGUCGUAGGGUUCUUGGCUUGUGUGGGUGCAUGUGUCAGGCGGCGGAGACGGGAGAUCCUGCAGUAUUGAGAAUGUUAGGCAGCCGUUACACAGUGGUGGAUGGUGGGCUGGCUUCCACACUGCAGGCUGGUGGAUAUGAGGUGGAUGGGGACCCGUUGUGGAGUGCACGGCUGCUGGCAACACACCCACAUGCCAUUAAGAAGGUGCACACAGCAUUCCUGGAGGCAGGGGCAGAGGUGCUGGUGUGUGGCAGUUACCAGGCUAGUGUGUCAGGCUUCCAGCAGCACCUCAGUACCACGCGGGAGGAAGCCUUGGCACUCAUUGGGCGCUCCGCCACGCUGGCGCUUGACGCUGUGCAGGAGUUUGAGAAGGGAGAGAGGGGAGAUCACCCCAAGGUCGUGGCAGGGUCAGUGGGGCCCUAUGGAGCAUGCCAGGCUGAUGGGUCAGAGUACACAGGGUCAUACAUCCCCUCUAUGACCCAAAGUGACCUCAUGACCUGGCACCGGCCUCGCUUGGAGGCACUGGCAGGGGCGGGGCUGCGGGUUGUGGCACUGGAGACCUUGCCGGCACUGUCUGAGGCCCUGGCACUUCUGGGGCUUUUGCGAGAGUUUCCAGACCUGAAGGCUUGGGUCACCUUCUCGUGUAAGGAUGCAAAACACACAAGUUAUGGAGACCAUUUUGGUGAGGCAGUGAAGGCGUGUUAUGAGCAAGGCAGAGACCAGUUGAUAGCUGUAGGUGUCAACUGCUCUCCCCCCCAUCUUAUCACCCCACUGCUCCAGGAGGCUAGCCAGCUCCUCCCCUCCCCCAAGAUUCUCCCCAGGGUUGUGUAUCCAAACUCAGGGGAGGAAUGGGUGGCUGGGAAAGGGUGGAAGGCAAGAGGAGAUGAGAUCUCAUGGCCCUUCCUGGAUGAGGUGGGGGUGUGGGCAGAGAUGGGGGCACAGCUGGUGGGAGGCUGCUGUCGGCUGGGACCUGUUGACAUAGCUAACAUUGCUGGUGUGUUGAGGAGCCUACCUGAUCCAUAAGGCAGCUCACUAUAUGACACCUGUAUUGUAAUGCACUUGAACUCUUUACUUAUUGAGAGAGAGAGAGAGAGAGUUGGGAAGAGAAGGGAGUCUUAAUUCUGCAUAGAACUGUGUGGGUGUAGAGAGACAGGAUAUAUGCGGAACAAGUGGAUUUUAAAUUGUUUUCCUGGUGUUAAGAGAAAUAAAGGACAGAAAAAGGAAA